AAAUAAUAUACCAGGAUACCAAAUACCGGAAACAGAUAUCGGCUGGCGAUAUAUGGGCGGUUAAACGAAGAAUGGAUACACAUAAGAAAGAGAACUGGAGAAGGGACUUCUAUCCCAUAUGAACACGAAAGAAGAAUCGUUAGAUUAAAAUGUUUGAAUUAGGAACCGGUAGCCAAUAAUCCCAAAAAGGUCAUUUCUGCAUGCUAUAAAGUGGUGGAAAAAAGAAAGAUGUCGAAAAAAGGAUAUAUAGGCUCAUAGACAUUCCUUGUUGUGGAGGAUUUUGACAUUGGAAGUUGAUAACAACACAUAAAAUGCCACCCAGUUAAUAGCUUUAAGUGAAGAUGCACUGAAAAGUGGAGCGGACAUUGUAUGUGAUCGUACAAGAACUGUUGGAAUUUGCAAACUUUUAAAAUUUCAUUGUGACAAAUACCUAUAUCAUAAACUAUCUAAUUAUCACAUUGACAUGCUUUUUUGGUUAGGAUACAAAUGAUGUUGCAACUAUCUAGUCAUGUAGGGGAAAAUCAUUAUUUGUGAUAUAUAUUUUAAGUCAGUUUAAAAACAUUAUGUAUGUGAUUUCACUGACUGUUACUUGUGAUAUCAUAAGGUAUCUGGUGUACUUUUCUUACAUAUAAUAUGCUCAUUUGAUUACAUAAAGAAUUACUUGUUA
Molecule: long non-coding RNA, 667 nt
Organism: Mytilus californianus (California mussel)
Lineage: Eukaryota; Metazoa; Mollusca; Bivalvia; Mytilida; Mytilidae
Exons: 3
Source: RefSeq, a predicted model, not a curated record